This 3042-nucleotide long non-coding RNA is filed under the name Zea mays. RNAcentral's name for it is "long non-coding RNA (ZMAY_LNC002534)". The record is from RNAcentral. Lineage: Eukaryota; Viridiplantae; Streptophyta; Magnoliopsida; Poales; Poaceae.
GCUCGGGCCGUUCGUCGCGUGAAUCUCGCUGCUCGCCGACCGCUUCUCCCCCUGAAAUCGGGCUCGACUCUGGGAUAAAACCGAGGGCCGUCCCCUCCCCAGCAACAUCCACCACGGCUGCGCGGGCGCCGUUCAUCCCAUGGCGGAGACUCCCUACCCGGACUGCUCGGCCAGAACUUCCGUUCAUCCCAUUGCGAGCUCCUCUGCCGCGCCCCUGCUUCCCCAUGGCCCCUCGCCAGCCGUUGAAACUCCACCGUGCACGCGUCCCUGCUAGCGCCUUCCGUCGACCUCCCUGGCCGCCGUGCUUCAGGACCGGUGUGAGGGUAGACGAGUGAGAGACCACGCCGCGCGGCCGCACUUCCAGCCUGCCUCGCCGGGUCGCUAGAAUCACGGCGUCUCCGCCAUGUUGCCCUGACGGAGGCCACCAUCGCCGCAGGGAAGGAAGGUAAUGUCGCCACCGUAGGCGCGUGCUCGGCCCUGGGAACUCCGUCAGUGCCCCCGGCGCUCGAGCGCGGUCCGCUCGGCUGGCCUUGGAGCUUCGGGGGAUCACCACGGACCUGCUCGAGGCCUCGGUGGGUGGAGAUUGGAUCGGCGGGGCUCUGGAUUGCUCGUCGGUCUUCCGUUGUCGCCGCUGUACCACGGACCGCCGCGGCCGGGUGUAACCACUGCAGUUUCGGUGAGAACCACCCCAUUCCGCUCCGCGUUCAUGUGCGCAUCAUGUAGGACUUGUUGAAUCUGGGUGUGUGGCGGCGAUUUGGGCGUUGGUCGCCGCGGCGGCGAGAGCGCCACCGCGGAUGGACGGUGCCGCCGCGCCGGAGUGCGAAUUUGGGAAGGAGCGAAUCUGACCGUUCCAUCACAGGGUAACGGUCUCGAUUUAGUCGGGCAUGCGGAUCGGAUCUGGUGAUGGCGUGGCGCACUGUGGGCCGUGGGAUCGUGAUCCAAGCAUGUGCGGAGCCGUACCGCUUCGGGAGGUCAUAAAUCUAAUCUGGACCGUGCCUUUUAGAUCUAACGGCCAGAAUCAAUCUUACCGUUUCGGCCAGGUAACUUUGUAAAAGAGACCCUGCGAAAUAGAAGAACCAACCCGCAGUCCUCGGCCAAAGACUCUGGGUCUGCUGACUUUUUGUGUUAACGCCCCUGCACUUACUAAUAAUAAUGCGCCCAGUCCAGAAGAUUAGAAAAAUCAGGAAAAUGCAUACUUAGUCCAAAUUUAUUCAUUCCAAUUUGUAUAAUUUUGUAAUAUUAUUGUCUAUCACUUAGUACCACUGUUUGACAUGAAACCUAUGUUAAAUUGGAUCACCUAAUUAAUGUUGUAUUAACACAUAUAUUCGGAAAUUCAUAACUCCUCCGUUUUAAUUUCGAUUUGACUCGUUCGAGUUGCGUUAGCUUCGUAUAAAUAUUUACUACGCAGUAGCAACAUUUGUUAUAUGAUAUCCCCUACUUUUAUAAUUUGGUAACUAAUUAGAUUAAUCUGUGUCUAUUGGAUUAACCUCUUUAAUAUUAAAUAUAGUAUUCUCACUUAUGGUUAUAAUUUGACUAGAUGAUUUUUAAUCAAAUAAUGACUUGGAUUAAAGUUGAGAUAAUUAUUUAUAGAAUAAUCACUCAUAUGGUUUAUAUUAACCAAUUUAUAAUAUAUUUUUAUAUUUUAAUCACAUAAAUCCUCUAUAAAAUCAUAACUCCUUAACCAUAACUCCGAUUUUAGUGGUUCUCGUCUCUCACGAUCUCAUAGAAAUGCGUAGAAUAUUCUUAUUCAGUUUGUACUUAUGUUUGAUGUGAUGUUAAUUUUAUCUAUACCAUGUUUGUUUGUAUUGCUACGACUAGCAGUGAGGUCACGAGGAUCUGAAGAAUCACCCUAGUAACUGGAAUCUCAAGUGCCAGGCAAGUUGUGCCCUUGAUCCACUUUUGUUACCCAAUAAUAUUCUUUAUUAUCAUUAUUCAAUGCAUAGGUUUAAUUUUGAUGGGACCCAAUAGGUCACCCUAGUCUGUUUAUCAUGUUACCCUUGUUUACCCCUAAAUCACUUGGGUAGUUCUGCUAUUGCUUUAUAUGGUUUUGGGAUUAAUAUUUCAUUAUAUCCAUGUUCCAAUUAUUCAGUUAUUUUACUUGUGUUCAUGUCAAGAUCAUUAAAUGUUAAUUGGAACAUGAAGCUUAACUUAAGAAACAUGUGCCACCACAAGGGUUUAAUGGGACGCCCUUGGCCAACUAACUAGGAGAGCUAGUGGAAGACUACCUUACCCGAAAGGGGCAAGGGCAGUAGGGGAGUUGCAUGCAAGGAGGUUCUCGGGUUGAUUUUGCUGCGAUGGCGGUCAGACGAGGGAUUCAUGCAAGUGCUCUUCCCAUAAACUGUAGCAGGUUUUCGGAAGCUAGUGGAACUUUGUAAAGGCCUCGUAGUGGAUCCCUAGCCAUUCACCUCGGUAGUGUCUAAGGGUCUUGCAAACCCUGGUGACAUGGGAUACACGACUUGUGGGUACAGGGUACAACCUCUACAGAGUGUAAAACUGGUAUACUAGCUAAGCUCACGGUCAUGAGCAGCUCAGGACUCUCGCAUGAUUAAAUUAUGGAACUUAAAUUCAAUUUUGUCAUUUGCAUUUGCAUGGGAUUAUUUAUUAAAUUUGUUCUAUUAUUUAUUUUGGUUUGGUAUUUACUUACAUUUAGUAAUUGCUAAUAAAACUUUGACCAACUUUAAAAGCAAUGCUCAACUUUAAACCCCUAUUGUUGAUCAGCUUUACACAUCACAUGAACUCCCACCAUUGGUGAGUUCAUGCCACAUUAUUCCCCACAACUUGUUGAGCGAUGAACAUGUGUGAGCUCACCCUUGCUGUCUCACACCCCCCACAGGAGAAGAAAAGGUAGUUCAAGAGGAGCCACACAACGAGGAGUUCGAUUCGAUCUUGGUGGUGUCUCCCAGUUGACUUGUGUCAAGGAUGAUCCUUAGUUCGUUUUAUAUUUAUAAUUUAUUUUGUAAGUCUUACGCUAUGUAAUAAAUACUCUGAUUAUUAUGACAUUUAUCUCUAUACACUCUGUUAUUAUAUAUGUUGUCUUCUUUG